GGAUUUUUAGAGAAAGUAAAAUCCACACGCGUUGGAUUUAACUUGGCAAGUUUGAAUUUCGAAACCCAUUCAAAUGAACUUCAAAUGGGUUGAAAUUAUAGGAGGUGACCCUACACAAUAGAUGUGAUUUAUGGGCAGAUUUGGAACAUUAAUGGGUAGAGUAAAAUUGCAACUCAAUUUUACUAAAAGGACCCAAAGGAAGAAAAGAAGUUGAGUAGGAUAAAAGGAAAUUUGAAGAACGGUGCAUAUGUGUUAUGGGUGAUUCCAAGCCAAUGGAAUGGUUUAAUAUAGCUCCCUAAAUAUUAGGAGGAUAUGUUUUAAAGAGAAACCACCAUGUGAGUUCCCUCAAUUUAAAUGGAUCAAAGAUCCAUGCAAUUUAUUUAGCUGAGUUUUAAAAAGGGUUGCAUGAUGACAUGAUGCAAUGCAAAUGACGCAAAGAUGAAUGCAACGAACAAAACAUCUCACACGGCGAAUCUCGUAAUCCAUGGAAGGCAUCUGGAGCACCGGUCUCGGGGCGUUACAACACUCCUCCACUUACAAGAGAUCUCGUCCCGAGAUCUAGGAAUGGCACCGGAGGGAAACGGAAGAGGAAGAGAAGAGGUAAAACUAAGUUGCUUCUUUGACAAACACGUGAAACCAAAGAACCUUGCGAGGUUGAACAAAUUGAAAGAAAGAAUACAACGAAGAUGAACAAAGUUGAAAACACUAUGUUAGAAAAGAGUAACAAGGAACAUUACGAGAACCGUGUAGGUUGAAAGACAUGAAUGAAGAGCUCCAGCGACAAGGAAGGACAUGUAACCACUCCAGUUGAAACGGAAUAAGCAAGGAAUGAGAACGAAAGAAAACAGACAGCACUCUGGUAGAAAAGAGAUUUAAGACUUGAUAAGAUGAAAAAAAAAACUUGAGCAGAGGACACAACACUCAUGUUAAAUGGAUAAGCAAGGAAAAGAACAUGAUAUUUACAAAAUGAGAUGAUGGGUCAAAGAGAGCAACAUCACAAUGCCUCCGGAACAAAUGAAUGGAGAUGGUUGGAAAGAAAAGAACGGAGAAGAAGAAUGACAACUCUGCCAAUUAAAAUUGAAAGAGCAUCCUUCCAAGAAGGUUAGAAGAAGUUGUUGGAAAACCAACAACGAAAAGAAUAAAUUUGUUGUGGGCUUAUGAGAACAUCUCAAAAUUAUGAGGUGACAACCGGCCACUAACGAAAAAUAAUUGAUUGCUUGAGAGCAAAGAAGAGAUGAAAACUUCUUUCAUCGAGAGGAUAGGAGAAGACUUGGAUCAUAGAUAAGCACCACAAUAACAACAUUCCUUAGGGAAGGCUGUAGGUGAAAUAUAACCCAAGAUAACUCCAACAAGGAGAUUAAUUGGUUGAAAAGAUCCCUUGAGCGAAGAGAAAAUGAUGGAUUCAAAUAUGUCACUCUUGAAAACUUGUGAAUCAUGAAACACGAAGGGAAACUAUCAACAAUGACAUAACACCACCUCAAAAGAUGAGAUAGGAAGAAGUGCACUUCGGAUGCAAGAUGAAGAAUGCUUGAACUCCUCAAAAUACAACAUGUCCUGAAAACCAUGUUUAUUUUAUGGUAAAGCUUGGCGGGUCAUAACUUCAAGAAAAAUCUUGAAGAACAAUUGAAGAAUGAAAGGAAUGCUUGACGAACCACCAUGUAGAGCCUCCAUGAAGAACUCCAGUAAUAAAAGGAUGAUAGAAAGAAAGAGAAGUUGAGAACACAAGGUGAAGCCUUGCGAUGAUUUAGAAGGAGCUUCGCGAUGAGAUGAUGUAGAAAAACUUGGAACUCCGGAAAAGAAAAGAUGGAGCAUCUCGAACCGAGAAAUGUGACAUGAUGAACAACUCUGGAAAGAAGAAAACUAGAUCACUUGGAUGAAACAGUAAUAAGAAUUACGUUAUGCGUAUCCUUCACCAAUUUAAAUUGAUGACAAGCAACGGAUUUGGCAUACUACUUAUUCUCGUAGAAAGGAUUAAGAGAGAUAUAGCACAAACUUGAGAAAAGUCUUCAACGAUCCGCCGGUAGGAUUUGGAAAGAACGAAUGAAUUGAUACGAUAACAACAGAAGAGAAUUCUUGAAUGAACCACCGUAAGAAUUGAGAAUGAAAGUAGCAAAGGCACAAUUCACCGGGAAGAAUUGGAAAACGAAUGAAGAUACUUGAGGGUAUUUAGAUACAUGAGAACGAAGUGAUCAAGAGCUGACUAGAGGAUACUUGAACGAUUCACCGGUAAGAUUUGGAGAACGAGAGAUGAAAGCUGGAAUGAAUAAUUAUGACAUGAUGGCCUUCGGAGGAAAGAAAUGGGAACAACUCAUGAAAUGCUCUGGAUGGGUAAAAAGAAUUCUCACAAUCGAAAAUAAUUAUGAGAGGAUGGCAUCAAGCUUGAACUUCGCAUCUUUGGAAGAACGGGUAAGGAUUUAAGAGGAACUCCUCUUCGGUCUUCAAAAUCUGAGAAUGAUGACGAGAAACACCACCAUGAAUUGUUGAGGCACUCCGGAAUGAAAGUUAGGAAGGUUGAACCAACGAUGAAAAGAAUUUGAAAGAUCUUGGAGAAAGACAUUUGACUGAUGAUAAUUCAUUCUUACGUCAAAAUUUGAAAAGAAUUUGGGAAUAGCUCCGGGAAAAUUAGAAGAGUCAGGUAAGAUCCUGGGAAAAGACCUGUGGGUUAGGGCCCACUCAAAAGAUACACCGUUGAACGAUUUAAAAGAGAGAUUGCGUCGGUUCAAUUAACUUGAAUAAGGUAAGACCUCGAAAUAGCUUGAAAGGAAUUCAAAUAGAAACUUGAAUCUUCUGGGAUAUCUUCAGCACUCCGGAACAAUUGAAUAGCACGCGAAGAAUGAUUAAGAGUUGCACCGGCAUGAGAAAGCAUUUGAAACGAGGAAAGGAAUGUGAUCAACACUGAAGGCUUGAAUUUAAUCUACCGGAAAAGAAAAAGAAUGAAGAAUGAUGAACUUGAAGCUCCAUUAGUAUCUUCCUGAGAAUCACCGGAUAAGAACAAGGAGGAAAAGAAUGAAGAGACUUCACAUCAAUAAAAAGGAUACUUGAUUAAGAAAUCUGAGUCCUUGAAGAAAAGGGUGGGAGGGUGGGAAAACAAAGGCAACUUGGGUCGGAUGAAACGAACACCGUCGAGAAAAAGCUUAGAAUUGAUCUUGCGAAUGUUAGAAUGAUCGGAUUUACUUGAAGAGAAGCACGCCGGUUGGAAAGGAUUGAAAAGACAACCUUGAUGAUCAAGAAGGAUUAGCAUCCACAUAAAAAAUAUGAGAACACCGCUUAGAAUAAGGUAUGGAAUCAACACUUGACAUUGAAGCAACUCGAAUACCACAACUUAAAACAAAACAAAGGAUUGGCUUGCAAAAUAAGCCAGAAACAAACAUAUGAUAGAUCCCAUAUCGUAUCAUGUGUCUGUUGGAAAGAUAUUCUAGGAGCUACUUGAAUUCCCACCUAUAAACUCCCGAAACUUUCUGGUUAUGCAAUCCGGUGUUGGCGAUACAGGGGACGCAAUAUAUCUCACCCAAACUAACAAUCCCUAGAUCCAGUUGUAUCCAUCCGUCAACACAUAACCAAGAAAACUCCGGAAAUCGUGGACCUCAACCUUCGAAAAGCAUCCGUUAUACGAGUUAUGGCAAUACUCCCGAACUCCCGCCCCGGUACUGGGUGGCGUCGAGGUGAUCUCACCAACAAAUGCAUAAAAGAGAUUUUCGAUGUCGGCGAAACUCAGGUAUUCCAGAACUGCAACGAUAAAAUUGUGACGACAACACCUCGGAGCUCAACUCCCCGGGACACUGCCACAACCCCUAAAUGGCAGGAGGCACCAAGAACAAUGUUCUCGUCACAAAACCAUCAGAACGAUUCCAAGAUACCCGCGUGAUCCUAAAAAUAAAUUUAGUGAAAUUUGAGGAGAGGAAAGACAAAACAUCUACGUCAGGAGGCCUCACCAGAGCGAUGAAGGGACUGAGGGGUAAAAAGAAUCCUACUCUCCGAUAUAUAUAAUCCUAAGACUCGAAACAUUUUGUUCUAGACUCAACAAUGUUAGCGAUUCGAUCAAGCAGGGGGCUCCUAAGUCGGGGAUGGCUCUGAUACCAACUUGUAACGCCCACGAUGCGGCUAUAUCUCCCACGUGUCGAGGCACGACUUGGAGGCAUAACCGGAUGGUGGUUUUGUCGCAAGAAGGGUCAUCUUCACACAAUCCCAUGUAAUGAACAAGAAUGGGAUAAAGAGUUGGCUUACAAUCGCCACUUCACACAAUACAUAAAUUAAACAUACAUCAUUCAAGAUACACACAUAGACCGACUACGGUCAAAUCCAAAAGAAAAGAAGAUAACCCCAAAUGCUAGAUCCCCGAUCGUCCCAACUGGGCUCCACUACUGAUCAACCGGAAAUGAAACAUAGUAACGACCAAGGUCCUCGUCGAACUCCCACUUGAGUUCGGUUGCGUCACCUGCACUGGUAUCAACGGCACCUGCAACUGUUUUGGUAGAAUCUGUGAGUCACGAGGACUCAGCAAUCUCACACCCAUGAGAUCAAGACUACUUAAGCUUAUGGGUAGGAAAGGGGUAAUGAGGUGGAGCUACAGCAAGCACUAAGCAAAUAUGGUGUCUAACAUACGCAAAUAAGAGUGAGAAGAGAAGCAACGCAACGGUCGUGAAGCUAGAAGUGAUCCUAAAACUACUUACGUUCAUACAUAACCCAAAAACCGUGUUCACUUCCCGGACUCCGCCGAAAAGAGACCAUCACGGCUACAACGCAGUUGAUGUAUUUUAAUUAAGUCAAGUGUCAAGUUCUCUACAACCGGACAUUAACAAAUUCCCAUCUGCCACAUAACCACGGGCACGGCUCUCGAAAGUUUAUACCCUGCAGGGGUGUCCCAACUUAGCCCAUCACAAGCUCUGACGGUCAACGAAGGAUAUUCCUUCUCCGAGAAGACCCGAUCAGGCUUGGAAUCCCGGUUACAAGACGUUUCGACAAUGGUAAAACAAGACCAGCAAGACCACCCGAAUGUGCCGACAAAUCCCGAUAGGAGCUGCACAUAUCUCGUUCUCAGGGCACACCGGAUGAGACAUCCUACGAGUAAAACCAAGCCUCAAGUUUCCCCGAGGUGGCCCCGCAGUCUACUCAGUUCGGACCAACACUCAGAGGAGCAUUGGCCCGGGGGGGUUAAAAUAAAGAUGACCCUUGAGUCUGCAGAACCCAAGGGAAAAAGGCUUAGGUGGCAAAUGUUAAAACCAAGGUUGGGCCUCGCUGGAGGAGUUUUAUUCAAAGCAAACUGUCAAGGGGGUCCCAUAAAUCCCCAACCGCGUAAGGAACGCAAAAUCAAGGAACAUAACACCGGUAUGACGAAAACUAGGGAGGCAAGAGUGGAACAAAACACCAGGCAUAAGGCUGAGCCUUCCACCCUUUACCAAGUAUAUAGAUGCAUUAAUUAAAAUAAGAGAUAUUGUGAUAUCCCAACAUAUCCAUGUUCCAACAUGGAACCAGCUUCAACUUCACCUGCAACUAGCAACGCUAUAAGAGGGGCUUGAGCAAAAGCGGUAACAUAGCCAAACAACGGUUUGCUAGGAAGGAUGGUUAGAGGCUUGACAUGGCAAUAUGGGAGGCAUGAUAUAGCAAGUGGUGGGUAGCGUGGCAUAGCAAUAGAGCGAACAACUAGCAAGCAAAGAUAGAAGUGAUUUUGAGGGUAUGGUCAUCUUGCCUGAGAUCCCGCUAGGAAGAAGAACGAGUCCAUGAAGUAGACGAACCAACAUAGUCGAACGGAUCCUCACAAACGCAACGUUACCGGACUAUCGAGAAGAAGCGCAACCGGAAAGAAGGAAACAUCAUGGUAAACAACCAUCACAUAAACAUGGCAUGAUGCACAAUCAAUCAUGCUGCAUGUCCGGUUUAAUGAGGCAUGGGAUGGCAAAGUGCACAAACAAUACUACAAAUUAAGUGUAGCUCAAUAUGCAACGAGUUGCAUAUUGAUGGAACACCACCUCAAUUAUUUAGUUCUCUCUAGUUUUUGUACCCAACAAUAUUAAAUGUUAUUAAACAUGGCAAGGGGUGAAACAUAAGUAAACUAACUAUUUAGGCAAGUUUAAAUGAGGCCGGAACAACAAACAACAAUUCCGGAAAAUCCCCAUAUGCAUAUUUAGCAAUUUAAUGGAAACAACAAAUAUAAACAUUUUAAAUGUUGUUAUCAUGAUGCGGAUGACAUUUACAAGUUUUAUGCAAUUUAUGAAAAUGUUGACAUAAGCAUGUUAUGAAGCAUUUGUCACCGUGGUGGAAGAAAUGGGUGCCACGGCAACGAAUCCGAAAAUGAUGCCACGGCAACAUAUCGGUUCCGGUAGCUCAUGGAGAUACCGGUGCAAAAGGAAGCAUGGCAUGAGUGUGGCAUGCAAGCUGUGGGGUGAUCCCGGUUACCGGGUUCCCACGAGAUGAUGGCAUGGCAACGAGGAGGAACAUGCAAGCGACAAUUUCGAACACGGUGCAAACGCGGGCAUCUCAUGCAUCGCAAACAUUCGUUCUCGAAAGGUCAUCUCGGCGGUUAUACCUUUGAAGCGUGCAUUUUCAAAACGAAUCCAGUUCGUCGAAGGAAGUAGUGGUACACGGGCCAUAGUGGAAGUAGUCGUUCUCGCGACGGUAGUGGAAGUAGACGUCCACGGGUCAUCGUGGGAAGUAAUCGUACACGGCGACGGUAGUGGAAGUAGUGGCACACGUUCGUUUUCGGAGAGGUACUUGACGGGUCCGAGGUCUCCGGCGUAGUGGUACACAUUUCGGAAGCGGUUCACGACGAUGGUAGUCGAACUUGGUGAUCCGAAGGGGUACUCGGCGAAUGACGACCGUAGUGGUACUUGGGGAAAAAUCUCGGAGACGAUGCUUGGCGGUCCUUGUGUGGCCUUGGCGUCCAUUGUAGUCGAUCUUGCCGGCCUUGACGGUCCAACACAAAACAACACAAGGGGCCUCGGGAUGCCAGCAGCAAGGAGGCGAUGGUGGUGGUCAGCGGCAGGAGAUGGUCGGCAGCUUGAGCGGAGGCAGGCCGGAAGGGCGCUGGCUGGGCCUUGCAGCAGAAGCAGCCCACGCAUGCGGCUGCGCGGGCGCUCGGUCAACGCUGGAGGCCAGCGAGGCAGAGGAGGUCGGAUGGGCCGAAGGCGCUCAGGAUCGAGCUCCUCUCGAUCCAGAGCAUGGUUGCGGGCGCGGGACAGAGGUUGCGCGCGCGGAGGCAUGAUGGAGGGUUCCGGGGUCGAGCAUGAGCUCUCCUGCGUGAGCUGCAGCCCUCGCUUGUAGGCACCGGCUUCCGACCGGCGUGACGCAUGAGGAGGCAGGGCGUGGGCGGAGAAGUCCCAGAACGGGACGGAGAUGACGGGUUCAAGGCGGAGGUAGCCGGAUCCGACGAGGAACUUGACCAGAGCGGUGGCCUUGUUGUGGUUGAGGACGGCACGGCUCGCCGGUGACGAGGAAGAAGCAGGGGCGGCAGAGCGGAGCACACAUCAACUCGGACGGUGAGGCGAGGAGAAGCAGAGGACGGGAAGGCUGGCGAGGCUUUGGGCGGACGCGUUGACGGGGCGCCAUGGGGAGGCGACAACGCGAAGGAGGGGAGGCUGCAGGGGCAACGCUGGUCGUCGACGAGGGCGACGGGGAGGUCCGGUGGCGCAGCACCAAGGGCGGCGAGGAGGAGGUCGGGCGUGGGGAGCUUCUCUUCCUGGCUCGAUGCGUGUGGUGGCGGCGCUAGGAGGAAGGAGGGGAUCGAGAGAUGGGGAUCGAUCGAGGGGGCUAGGGUUAAGGACCGGUGGGUGCGGCUGGGCCUCCAGGAGCAAAUGAGCCGGCCUGAGUUCUUGGCUGGGCUGCUCUCUUCUAUUCCCUCCUUCAACCCUCUUCCAUAAACAGAAAAGCAAAGAAAGAAGGGGAGAGAAAAGAAAUGGGUGGACAAAGAAUUUGGGCAUGGGGAUUAUUUUCCCAGACUCACAAAAAUACGCAGAAUUUGACAAACAUGGCCUGAGGAUUUUUAGAGGAAGUAAAAUCCACACGCGUUGGAUUUAAUUUGGCAAGUUUGAAUUUCGAAACCCAUUCAAAUGAACUUCAAAUGGGUUGAAAUUAUAGGAGGUGACCCUACACAAUAGAUGUGAUUUAUGGGCAGAUUUGGAACAUUAAUGGGUAGAGUAAAAUUGCAACUCAAUUUUACUAAAAGGCCCCAAAGGAAGAAAAGAAGUUGAGUAGGAUAAAAGGAAAUUUGAAGAACGGUGCAUAUGUGUUAUGGGUGAUUCCAA
Molecule: long non-coding RNA, 8237 nt
Filed under: Triticum aestivum (bread wheat)
Lineage: Eukaryota; Viridiplantae; Streptophyta; Magnoliopsida; Poales; Poaceae
Description: long non-coding RNA (TAES_LNC013477)
Source: RNAcentral